Ananas comosus (pineapple) is the source of this 6206-nucleotide long non-coding RNA. RefSeq lists it as uncharacterized. The transcript has 3 exons. The record is from RefSeq and is a predicted model, not a curated record. NCBI's taxonomy places the organism in Eukaryota, Viridiplantae, Streptophyta, Magnoliopsida, Poales, Bromeliaceae.
AAUUUAAGUUUGAAAUGAUUGUUCGAUUGCAAAAUCAAAAGAAACAAGUGUUGUUGGUAAAUUUAUCUUGAAAAAAUUCAGUGCCAUCCAUAGACACCUUCAACCAUGGAGAACUAAAGGAAAAACAAAAGUGCAGAACGUGAUCAAUGCUAAGCUUGGGUUUUCCCUGUCCCUGUACCACAGGCUGAGUUUCCACAGCGCUUGGCACGGUCAGAUCCAAGUAGAAGAUCACUCCAUCGAAUUUGCUAAGAAGUUUCCGGAUCGUAUUCUCGACCGAAAACAGCUUCAGCCUUUCCUUGGAUGCUUUAAUUACUUCUCAUAUUACUACUAAGACCUAGCUGCGGAUCGCAAGAUCCUGACUUCUCGUCUUCGGAAGAACGCAUCACAGGUUUGGACGGAGAAGCACACCGAAGCCGUGCAACGGAUUAAGGAUCGUGUUCAACGUCUACCUAUUCUUGCUCUGCCAGACGAAUCCAAGCCAAAGAUUAUAGAGACUGAUGCUUCUGACAUUGGCUGGGGUUAAGCAAAAGACCGACGAUGGGAAAGAAGUGAUACAGUUUGCUUCUGGCACCUGGAGCGAAUCCCAGUCGCGAUAUUCAGCAAUCAAGAAGGAGAUUCUGGCUGCAUAUAAGGCUGGCAGGCGCAGUUCUCUCUCUUUGAUUUCACUAUUGAACACAUUAAAGGAGAGUUGAACAACAUCCCUGACUUCUUAACUCGGGAAUUUCUUCAAGAAGGAAAGCUCUCGAGUACCCCCGUCGUCAACAUGUUGCCUUCCUCGCCUUCGUCAGAGGAAGGGAGUGGGUGGCUCUUCCACAGAUAAUCUUUCCUUUUGGAGGUGAAUCGGGAGAGAGGAUUUUUACUCACUUUCUUUGUGUUGCACCCCUUUAUCCUUUAUACUAAACCAGAUAGAGCAGGGGAUCUUCUUGAAAAUGAGAAAAUCUAGUCUUAUAGCCUUUUUCCAAUGAAGGACUGAAGCCACCCGACUCCUCUUCAACCUGAAGCAAGAAAGAGAAUUUUCCUAAGCAGGCUGUCUUUCUUGAACUGAUCUUGCCAACCCUGCGCAGAUAUUCCCAUCAUCUUUAGAUUUGAAAGGGGAUCUCGGAUGGAAUGAAACUGACUCUUUGACAAGGGAAAAGAUGAUUGCUGGGCUUCAGUGUUGAACCGGUCCAGAGAACUAUCGACAGUUCACAAAUGAUGUUAGUGAUGGUCUCGAGGAGGCUGGUCGAUUGAGAACGGGAUGUGUUGACCACUCGUACAUUCGGGGUGGUGAUGUAAAGGGAGAUCCAAACAAGGUAGAAGCAUUGGUAACAAAACUCAAUCCUGAGACAAAUCGCUUCCUACUAAGGGGAGUUUACGAUGACCAUUGAGGACGUCCAUCGUUAGGAAUUAGGCUUAAAGGUAAAGAAGAGAGCAAGCGAAGUAAUAACCAAGAAUCUGCUGAAAGAAGAUAGAAGAUGAAUGGUCGAAGAUCGUUUUUUUCCUAUAUGUAGAGCAUGAGCUCACGCUCCAUUUCCAACUCAGUCUAGUCCGGAUAUGGCCCGAAAGUCAGGGUGGGUCACCAAUAAGAUCCUUAUAUCCUAUCCAAAGCUCCAAUUCCAUUCAGCAGGUCUAAGUUCGUCCCCCGCGGAUGACUGGAUCAGAUGAAAGAGAUCGUCAUUGCAGGCAGGGCAAUCAUCGAGACGAGAAAGAAGUGGUCUGCAUCAAUGGUUGAGCACUAGCUAGGGCUUCCCCAACAAGAAAAAGAAGUUGGAUCCUCUUUUCCACUGAGCAAGGCAAGAUCUACGAAGGUAGGGGAAUAGCUGACUCAUACCUAGAGGGAAGGCAAGGUCCAACAAGAAGAACUUCCGAGAAAGCGCAAGAGGAGAGACGAAAGCUUGCUCAACCGUGAAAGGAGAGGAAGCACUCUGGGAUCUGAGGCCUGAAUUACGCUCUUAACUUUAUUGGACAAUGCAAGGGCAGACGGUGAUGCUCUGAUCGCUCAGUGACGAUUCUUGGAUUGACCAACAAAGUCUAAAAGCGGAACCUACUGAAUCUUUAUAGUCUCUUUCUUCUUUGCUUGCUGUCGGCCUUGCCAAUCUGAAACUCCAGAUCAUAUAUUAUUGCAUGGAGACAAAGCGUUGGAGGUCUGGUCUUACUUCUCUAAGGAUCUGCAGCAGAAUAUCAGUCCAGAGGAUUCUAUAUUAUGAUUAUCUUUCUUCCAUGGAGCUCCUCGGGUAAUCUGAACUCCAGAUAUGCCUUUAGCUGCCUACUGCUGCCUUUGCUUAUAUGUUGGUACCUGUGGCUGGCGUGGAAUGAACAUCGGUUCGAGGGUAUUGCUGCCUCUCCAUAUAGUAUCAUCCAAAAGGUAAAGCAGAGCUGGUAUGAAAUCUCCACGCAAUUCAAGCCUCGCACAGAGGAUAAUCUUGCAAAGAAAAGGAUGCUAGCGAAUGCCAGAAUUCAUCAUGAGGGAAGGGUCCAGGUUGAAGCACGCAUAAUUUACUGGGUUAAACCUCCUCCGGGCAUGCUUAAGUUGAAUGUGGACUAAGUUUUAACGCGCUAAGUGGGGAAAACUUGCCGCAAACUCUUCAAAUCCAAGGCGAAGUGGGAAGCAAGAAGCUCAAGAUACUGGUAGACACGGGGAGCAUCCAUAGCUUCUUGGAUUUUCGGGUGGCCAAGGAAGUAAAGGCAAGGAUAGAGUCAGCGGCGCCCUUACUGGUCACUGUGGCCAACAGACACAAGAUCAUGAGCUAACUAAGGAGCUUCGGGUUUACGGGGAACAUGAAUGGUAGACCUUAGAAGGCUGAUUUGAGGAUAAUCCGGCUAGAGGGCUUUAGUAUAGUAUUGGGCAUAGAUUGGUUAAGGACGUAUGGCAAAGUCACUUUCGACUAUAACAAAAACAUCGUGUCUCUCGAUAAAGACGGACAGCAACUAAUCCUCAAGAGUCUGACUGAAGGGCCAGCCUUGAAGAUGCUCACUGCUAAGGAGUGGAGUAGGGACUACCAGGAAGGAGCCUGUUGUGCCAUAGCCAAGAUCAUGUAGAUCGGGGAGCGCGAAGAGCAAGUAAUACCGGAGGACAUUAAAGAGAUACUAUUGCAAUUUGAAGACGUGCUUGAGGAGCUGAAAGGAUUGCCCCCGACAAGAAGGCAGGACCACAGAAUACCAUUGCAAAGAGCUUCCCAACCAGUGAACAUAAGACCCUAUCGCUAUACUUACGAGCAAAAGAACGAAAUCGAGCGACAGGUCAAGGAGAUGCUGGAGUCGGGCAUCGUACAGCCUAGCACCAGUCCUUUCGCCUCACUUAUGCUGCUUGUCAAAAAGAAGGAUAACACAUGGCGGUUUUGCGUAGACUAUCGACAGCUAAACAAAUCCACGGUGAAAGAUAAAUACCCUAUCCCACUGAUUGAUGAUUUGCUCGAUGAAUUAGGCGGGUCGGCUUACUUCUCUAAGAUUGAUUUGAGGGCCGGCUACCAUCAGAUUAGGAUGGAUCCGGAGGACGUCUAUAAGACGGCCUUUCGAACUCACUUAGGACACUACGAGUUUCUGGUUAUGCCCUUCGGGCUAACCAACGCGUCGGCCACUUUUCAGUCAGUAAUGAAUGAGGUUUUUGCGGAGCAUCUUAGAAAGUAUGUAUUAUUUUUCUUCGACGACAUACUCAUUUACAACUGAAGCCUCGAAGACCAUAAGGCGCAUUUGAGUGUGGUGUUGGGGACGUUGCGCAGGCAACAACUGUAUGAGAAGAGGUCCAAAUGCUACUUCGGGCAACAAAGGGUGAAAUAUCUGGGCUAUAUUAUCACCCCGGAGGGAGUGGCUACCGACCCUAAGAAGGUAGAGGCGAUGGUUAAUUGGCCGACACCGACUUCACUCUAGGGUCUGCGGGGGCUCCUCGGUAUAACCGGGUACUACAAAAGAUUUAUCAAGAACUAUGGGAAGCUAAGUAAAUCUCUGGUAGAACUGCUUAGGAAGGACCAAUUCAAGUGAAGUUCCGAAGCACAAACAGUAUUCGAGAACUUGAAGGAGAUCAUGACUCAAGUGCCAGUAUUAGCAAUGCCCGAUUAUACUAGACCCUUCGUUGUCGAAGUGGACGCGUGUGGACAAGGAUUAGGAGCGGUGUUGUCCCAAGAGGGGCGACCUAUUGCAUACAUUAGUAAGGCCAUAACCCAGCGGAACAUGGGUUUGUCAACCUAUGAGAAGGAAUUUUUGGCGAUACUCUUGACAGUUAACAAGUGGAAACACUAUCUCAGCCCUCGACAAUUCGUCAUCAAGACGGAUCAUCAAAGCCUCAAGCACUUAUUGGAACAGAAGAUCACCACGACAGUCCAACAAAAAGGUAUGGUCAAACUAAUGGGGCUCGAUUACAUAAUACAUUACAAGGCGGGCAAAAAAUAUAGAGCUGCAGACUCAUUAUCCAGAAGAGGAUUCGAGGAAGGAACUAGCGCAGCCAUCACCACAGUGAUACCUAGUUGGGUCGCCGAAGUGGCGGCGAGCUACAGAGGAGACAAGAAGUGCCAACAGCUCAUUUCCAAGCUGCUACUUCAACCUGAUCCACAAUUUAAGUAUACAUACUCCCAAGAAAUGCUGAGAUACAAGGGAAGGAUAUAUAUGUGGACCAAGGCGGAGUUCAAGGGAAGAUAAUACAUGAAUUACACUCCUUAGCAUUGGGGGGUCAUUCGGGUGCCCGACACACCUACAAAAGAGCGAAACAGUACUUCUACUGGCCGGGCCUUAAGCAGGAUGUGGAAGAAUACACUAAAGGCUGCGCCGUUUGUAUACAAAAUAAAGUGGAUGGACAACCCUACGCCGGGCUGCUUCAACCGCUGCCUGUGCCCAAUCGAGCGUCGCAGGAGAUUACCAUGGAUUUUAUCGAAGCACUACCAAAAUUAGAGGGUAAGGACACGGUAUUAGUGGUGAUCGACCGACUCACCAAGUACGCGCAUUUCAUAUCCCUAACUCGUCCUUUUACAGCAUCUAGUGUGGCGCGGGCCUUCCUCGACACAGUCUACAGACUGCACGGGUUGCCUCGCACCAUCCUAACAGAUAGGGACAAGGUCUUUACGAGUCAAUUAUGGCAAGAGUUGUUCAAGCUACUGCGUGUGAAGCUACUGAUGAGCAUUGCCUAUCAUCCGCAAACCGACGGACAGUCUGAAAGGCUCAACCGCUACCUCAAGACCUACUUGCGCUGCUUGUGCUUCUAGCAGCCGCAUAAGUGGCAUAGACGGUUGACACUAGCGGAAUGGUGGUACAACAACUACCAUAGUUCUCUUGGAAUGAUACCUUAUCAAGCCCUAUAUGGACAUCCACCCCCAAAUGGCAUGGUCGUCAACCUGGGCAUGGAAACUGCGCCUUCGAUACAGGAGUGGGGCAAGGAACAUGAAGAAGCGACUCGCCUACUAAGGGACAAGCUACUCCAAGCACAGCAUUGAAUGAAACAGAAUGCUGAUAAAAAGAGAGUGGACAAGGAGUACAAGGUGGGGGAGUAUGUCUACUUGAAGUUACAGCCUUACCGACAAACGAGCGUGGUAGUCAGGCGACACUUAAAGCUAUCAGCACGCUACUACGGGCCCUUUAAGAUCACUGAGAAGAUUGGGCAAGUUCCCUACCGCCUCCAGUUGCCGGAAGGGUCCAAGAUCGACCCAGCCUUCCACGUCUCACUGUUAAAGAGAAGUCCACCCACGGAUUCAUCCGCUACCCCGACGGUACCCCUGAUCAGCGAAGAUGGUCGACUCCUAGCACGACCGAAGAAGAUCUUAGACAGGCGCAUGGAAAAACAGGGUAAUCAAGCAGUAAGUAGAGUUUUGGUGAAGGGGAAGAAGAAGAAGAAGGAGCGCGCCUCAGCGCCUCAUCCUCCCUGCUGAAAUGAUAAAGAUCAAACGAACAUGAACUGAUAAAGGACGGUCAGGGUCAGGACCAAGGUUUCCAUCUUCAUCUGCUGCAGAUAGUGAAGCUGUUUCUAUGCUAGCAAUGACUUAGAUGACAACUGGGAUCUGCUAGAAGGUGAUCUUCCUUAUUGAAACUUGUGACAACUGGGAUUUGCUAGAAGGUGAUCUUCCUUUCAAUAACUUGUAAGCAAUUUACUACGCGGUUUCUGCACUUGCAGCUUUGUUUAGCGAGCGAAUCGAAUUGGAGGUACCGAUGAAUUGUAUAGAUUGCUUCUCCUCCUUCCAUGAACCAUGAUGUGGCAGAUUGAGUUCAAUGGCAUAUUUCAAUCUUUAGAAUUUUUAUGAUGUUAA